This 203-nucleotide ribosomal RNA is filed under the name Patescibacteria group bacterium. RNAcentral's name for it is "partial 16S ribosomal RNA". It matches the Rfam family "Bacterial small subunit ribosomal RNA", at positions 1318 to 1533 of the family's 1533-position model. The record is from RNAcentral.
CCAUGAAGCUGGAUUCGCUAGUAAACGCGUAUCAUCUACGGCGCGUUGAAUACGUUCUCGGGUCUUGUACUCACCGCCCGUCAAGUCAAGAGAGUCGGAAAUACCCGAAGGCCCCGAUUAAGGGGACUAAGGUAGAGUCGAUGAUAAGGACUAAGUCGUAACAAGGCAUCCGUAGCGGAAGCUGUGGAUGGAUCACCUCCUUU